RNAcentral lists this ribosomal RNA (485 nucleotides) under uncultured bacterium. Its description in RNAcentral is "bacterial SSU rRNA". It matches the Rfam family "Bacterial small subunit ribosomal RNA", at positions 28 to 514 of the family's 1533-position model. The record is from RNAcentral.
GAUGAACGCUAGCGGCAGGCUUAACACAUGCAAGUCGAGGGGUAGAGGAAGCUUGCUUCCUUGAGACCGGCGCACGGGUGCGUAACGCGUAUACAAUCUACCUUUUACAGAGGGAUAGCCCAGAGAAAUUUGGAUUAAUACCUCAUAGUAUUUUCGAAUCGCAUGGUUUGAUUAUUAAAGUUCCAACGGUAAAGAUGAGUAUGCGUCCCAUUAGCUAGAUGGUAAGGUAACGGCUUACCAUGGCAAUGAUGGGUAGGGGUCCUGAGAGGGAGAUCCCCCACACUGGUACUGAGACACGGACCAGACUCCUACGGGAGGCAGCAGUGAGGAAUAUUGGACAAUGGGCGCAAGCCUGAUCCAGCCAUGCCGCGUGCAGGAUGACGGUCCUAUGGAUUGUAAACUGCUUUUGUACAGGAAGAACACUACUUCGUGAAGUAGCUUGACGGUACUGUAAGAAUAAGGAUCGGCUAACUCCGUGCCAGCAG